UACGUAGGUGACCAGCGUUGUCCGGAUUUACUGGGCGUAAAGAGCGCGCAGGCGGUCGUUCAAGUCGAGUGUGAAAGCCCCCGGCUCAACUGGGGAGGGUCACUCGAUACUGAUCGACUUGAAGGCAGGAGAGGGAAGCGGAAUUCCCGGUGUAGUGGUGAAAUGCGUAGAUAUCGGGAGGAACAUCAGUUGCGAAGGCGGCUCUCUGGACCAGCACUGACACUGAGGCACGAAAGCGUGGGGAGCAAACAGG
This 253-nucleotide ribosomal RNA is filed under the name uncultured bacterium. Its description in RNAcentral is "partial 16S ribosomal RNA". It matches the Rfam family "Bacterial small subunit ribosomal RNA", at positions 524 to 776 of the family's 1533-position model. The record is from RNAcentral.